Long non-coding RNA from Mauremys mutica (yellowpond turtle), 477 nucleotides. RefSeq lists it as uncharacterized. The record is from RefSeq and is a predicted model, not a curated record. Lineage: Eukaryota; Metazoa; Chordata; Testudines; Geoemydidae. The transcript is spliced from 3 exons.
UUCCGUUGCAACCCAUGUCAAUGUACUAACCGACAGCUGAAAAUUAGAGAAGGGCCAAAUAAGGAAAAGGGAAAAAAUACCCCUACUGAAUAUGCAUCAAACAUAGUGGUGUCAGCGUAUCAUAUUAUAAAAGUUGCAUCCCAAGCUAGGGGCAAUGGAAGAAGGAGAUGUAGUCCUUGGGAGAUGCCAGAAUGAUGGCAACUGAUGAUGAGGGGGAAGGUGAUGGUGAUGAGGCAGAUGAUGGCUAACAUUUCAAGUUGUUCUUCAAGGGAUGGAGAGCAAUUGUUGGAAUCCUUCACUCUUUAGUACAGGAACCUGAAGUGCUUCAUGUACUCACGGCACUGAGAAGGAGUCCUCCAGAAUCCAUUAAAUCUCCUGGUACAGGUGGGUUUACGGCAGUCCUAUCCAAGAAUGUUGCCAUCUUUUCUCUGAGGAUCAUUCUAUAUGACAGAUUAAUAUUUCAAGAGGUACAAGAGU